UGAUGGAGAUGGUGUGAAGCAGA
This 23-nucleotide microRNA is filed under the name Gallus gallus (chicken). Its description in RNAcentral is "gga-miR-6589-5p". Lineage: Eukaryota; Metazoa; Chordata; Aves; Galliformes; Phasianidae. The record is from miRBase by way of RNAcentral.